AAAAGAGGGAUGACACCGAAACGAAGAAGGAUGACACCGCAACAGCCUCUAUUUUAAUCAUACAGUUUCCAGAACUCAACCCUAGCAUAUUAACAUCAUGAACUUCUCAAAAUUUUAUAGCAGAAUAAUAACGGUAAGAAAUCCAAGGCUAGAAUAAAUUACCACAGUU
Non-coding RNA from Arachis ipaensis, 169 nucleotides. The record is from RefSeq and is a predicted model, not a curated record. NCBI's taxonomy places the organism in Eukaryota, Viridiplantae, Streptophyta, Magnoliopsida, Fabales, Fabaceae.